AUUUGGGUGACUGUGCUCCUCUACAAGCCAGUUACCUCGGUUCAGAAACUUGCCGGUUUCUCGAACCUUCGAAAAACCACCUUGCCGGGUGGUUUUUUCGU
This 101-nucleotide non-coding RNA is filed under the name Aeromonas hydrophila. The record is from RNAcentral. Lineage: Bacteria; Pseudomonadati; Pseudomonadota; Gammaproteobacteria; Aeromonadales; Aeromonadaceae.